This 448-nucleotide ribosomal RNA is filed under the name Gemella sp. oral taxon G07. RNAcentral's name for it is "bacterial SSU rRNA". It matches the Rfam family "Bacterial small subunit ribosomal RNA", at positions 28 to 463 of the family's 1533-position model. The record is from RNAcentral. Lineage: Bacteria; Bacillati; Bacillota; Bacilli; Caryophanales; Gemellaceae.
GACGAACGCGGGCGGCGUGCCUAAUACAUGCAAGUCGAGCGAAGUUUUUCUGGUGCUUGCACUAGAAAAACUUAGCGGCGAACGGGUGAGUAACACGUAAAGAACCUGCCUCAUAGACUGGGACAACUAUUGGAAACGAUAGCUAAUACCGGAUAACAGCAUUAACUGCAUGGUUGAUGUUUAAAAGUUGGUUUUGCUAACACUAUGAGAUGGCUUUGCGGCGCAUUAGCUAGUUGGUGGGGUAAAGGCCUACCAAGGCGACGAUGCAUAGCCGACCUGAGAGGGUGAUCGGCCACACUGGGACUGAGACACGGCCCAGACUCCUACGGGAGGCAGCAGUAGGGAAUCUUCCGCAAUGGGCGAAAGCCUGACGGAGCAACGCCGCGUGAGUGAAGAAGGAUUUCGGUUCGUAAAGCUCUGUUUGUUAGGGAAAGAAAUGAUUGUGUAG